CGUUAUUCGGAAUUACUGGGCUUAAAGAGUUCGUAGGCGGCAUUGCAAGUAGGGUGUGAAAGCCCUCGGCUCAACCGAGGAAUUGCGCUCUAAACUGCAGUGCUUGAGGAACCUAGAGGUGAGCAGAACAGAUGGUGGAGCGGUGAAAUGCGUUGAUAUCAUCUGGAAUACCGGAGGCGAAGGCGGCUCACUGGGAGUUUUCUGACGCUGAGGAACGAAAGCCAGGGUAGCGAACGGG
This 238-nucleotide ribosomal RNA is filed under the name uncultured bacterium. Its description in RNAcentral is "partial 16S ribosomal RNA". It matches the Rfam family "Bacterial small subunit ribosomal RNA", at positions 539 to 776 of the family's 1533-position model. The record is from RNAcentral.